Molecule: ribosomal RNA, 841 nt
Filed under: uncultured bacterium
Lineage: Bacteria
Description: bacterial SSU rRNA
Rfam family: Bacterial small subunit ribosomal RNA
Source: RNAcentral
GAGGGGCAGCACGAUGUAGCAAUACAUUGGUGGCGACCGGCGCACGGGUGAGUAACGCGUAUGCAACCUACCUAUCAGAGGGGAAUAACCCGGCGAAAGUCGGACUAAUACCGCAUAAAACAGGGGUUCCACAUGGAAAUAUUUGUUAAAGAAUUAUCGCUGAUAGAUGGGCAUGCGUUCCAUUAGAUAGUUGGUGAGGUAACGGCUCACCAAGUCCACGAUGGAUAGGGGUUCUGAGAGGAAGGUCCCCCACACUGGUACUGAGACACGGACCAGACUCCUACGGGAGGCAGCAGUGAGGAAUAUUGGUCAAUGGGCGAGAGCCUGAACCAGCCAAGUCGCGUGAAGGAUGAAGGAUCUAUGGUUUGUAAACUUCUUUUAUAUGGGAAUAAAGUGAGGAACGUGUUCCUUUUUGUAUGUACCAUAUGAAUAAGCAUCGGCUAACUCCGUGCCAGCAGCCGCGGUAAUACGGAGGAUGCGAGCGUUAUCCGGAUUUAUUGGGUUUAAAGGGUGCGUAGGUGGUUAAUUAAGUCAGCGGUGAAAGUUUGUGGCUCAACCAUAAAAUUGCCGUUGAAACUGGUUGACUUGAGUAUAUUUGAGGUAGGCGGAAUGCGUGGUGUAGCGGUGAAAUGCAUAGAUAUCACGCAGAACUCCGAUUGCGAAGGCAGCUUACUAAACUAUAACUGACACUGAAGCACGAAAGCGUGGGGAUCAAACAGGAUUAGAUACCCUGGUAGUCCACGCAGUAAACGAUGAUUACUAGCUGUUUGCGAUACACAGUAAGCGGCACAGCGAAAGCGUUAAGUAAUCCACCUGGGGAGUACGCCGGCAACGGUGAAAC